GCCUACGGGAGGCAGCAGUGGGGAAUUUUUCGCAAUGGGGGCAACCCUGACGAAGCAAUGCCGCGUGGAUGAAGAAGGCCUUCGGGUUGUAAAGUCCUUUCGUGGGGGACGAAAAGGCGGGUCCUAAUACG
RNAcentral lists this ribosomal RNA (131 nucleotides) under Acidithiobacillus sp. enrichment culture. RNAcentral's name for it is "partial 16S ribosomal RNA". It matches the Rfam family "Bacterial small subunit ribosomal RNA", at positions 337 to 466 of the family's 1533-position model. The record is from RNAcentral. Lineage: Bacteria; Pseudomonadati; Pseudomonadota; Acidithiobacillia; Acidithiobacillales; Acidithiobacillaceae.